GAUACAGCACCUGGCCCAGGAAAGAUACAGAGGGCCACAUGGGGCUUGGAUAGAAGCUUUUCUGAGGCCAGGAGGUAGGACUAGAGCUGGAUUCUGAAUCACGGGACUGUGAUGCGAGGAACCACAGGGAGAGCAAAAGAAGACAGGACAGUAUCCUGUGUUUGUGGCCACAAGCGGAAGCCAGGUGAAGAUGUGGGGGAGACCCAAGAGGAGAACCCAGGGCUCCCUAGUUACCAGGGACAAGGGACAAAAGAGCCACUCCAGUACUUCAUGGAGAGGGGAAGCUGUCCACUGCCGACCACAUACAGCAGGCAGCUUUUCUCUUAUAGCUCUCGUGUUGCGUUUCUUAAUUUAAAAUGGGAAAUUCCG
RNAcentral lists this long non-coding RNA (369 nucleotides) under Mus pahari (shrew mouse). RNAcentral's name for it is "lncRNA (MGP_PahariEiJ_G0006377.1)". Lineage: Eukaryota; Metazoa; Chordata; Mammalia; Rodentia; Muridae. The record is from RNAcentral.